Molecule: ribosomal RNA, 490 nt
Filed under: uncultured bacterium
Lineage: Bacteria
Description: bacterial SSU rRNA
Rfam family: Bacterial small subunit ribosomal RNA
Source: RNAcentral
ACUCCUACGGGAGGCAGCAGUGGGGAAUAUUGGACAAUGGGCGCAAGCCUGAUCCAGCCAUGCCGCGUGUGUGAAGAAGGCCUUCGGGUUGUAAAGCACCUUUGUCCGGAAAGAAAAGCAUUCGGUUAAUAACCGGGUGUCAUGACGGUACCGGAAGAAUAAGCACCGGCUAACUUCGUGCCAGCAGCCGCGGUAAUACGAAGGGUGCAAGCGUUACUCGGAAUUACUGGGCGUAAAGCGUGCGUAGGUGGUUCGUUAAGUCUGAUGUGAAAGCCCUGGGCUCAACCUGGGAAUGGCAUUGGAUACUGGCGAUCUAGAGUGCGGUAGAGGGGUGUGGAAUUCCCGGUGUAGCAGUGAAAUGCGUAGAUAUCGGGAGGAACAUCUGUGGCGAAGGCGACACCCUGGACCAGCACUGACACUGAGGCACGAAAGCGUGGGGAGCAAACAGGAUUAGAUACCCUGGUAGUCCACGCCCUAAACGAUGCGAACU